Long non-coding RNA from Amblyraja radiata (thorny skate), 258 nucleotides. RefSeq lists it as uncharacterized. NCBI's taxonomy places the organism in Eukaryota, Metazoa, Chordata, Chondrichthyes, Rajiformes, Rajidae. The transcript is spliced from 3 exons. The record is from RefSeq and is a predicted model, not a curated record.
GACCCUGUCAAUGUGAACCAGGAAUUCUGUUCCUCACUGUAGCUGCCUGACCCGCGCGGAACUUCCCUCAUUGUUCUGCACUUAUUUCCAGCCUUGUUUGGAUUGACCUGUGACUCUGAUAGUCAUUGUCUCUGAUGCUCAUUGUUCAAAUGUAACACUGGUUUCUCCUUCCAGAGCUGGAACGGCGCAAAUCCAUCGUAGAAAAUGAGUGGAAAAGGAUACGAGGCCACCAAGUCUCCGUCACCCUGGAUGUGGAAA